CCUACGGGAGGCUGCAGUGGGGAAUAUUGGACAAUGGGGGCAACCCUGAUCCAGCCAUGCCGCGUGUGUGAAGAAGGCCCUCGGGUUGUAAAGCACUUUCAGUGAGGAAGAACGCCUGGUGGUUAAUACCCAUCAGGAAAGACAUCACUCACAGAAGAAGCACCGGCUAACUCCGUGCCAGCAGCCGCGGUAAUACGGAGGGUGCGAGCGUUAAUCGGAAUUACUGGGCGUAAAGCGCGCGUAGGUGGCUUGAUAAGCCGGUUGUGAAAGCCCCGGGCUCAACCUGGGAACGGCAUCCGGAACUGUCAAGCUAGAGUGCAGGAGAGGAAGGUAGAAUUCCCGGUGUAGCGGUGAAAUGCGUAGAGAUCGGGAGGAAUACCAGUGGCGAAGGCGGCCUUCUGGACUGACACUGACACUGAGGUGCGAAAGCGUGGAUAGCAAACAGGAUUAGAUACCCCUGUAGUC
RNAcentral lists this ribosomal RNA (465 nucleotides) under Vreelandella stevensii. RNAcentral's name for it is "partial 16S ribosomal RNA". It matches the Rfam family "Bacterial small subunit ribosomal RNA", at positions 338 to 795 of the family's 1533-position model. The record is from RNAcentral. Lineage: Bacteria; Pseudomonadati; Pseudomonadota; Gammaproteobacteria; Oceanospirillales; Halomonadaceae.